This 89-nucleotide transfer RNA is filed under the name candidate division Kazan bacterium. Its description in RNAcentral is "tRNA-Leu". It matches the Rfam family "tRNA". Rfam says of the family: Transfer RNA (tRNA) molecules are approximately 80 nucleotides in length. Their secondary structure includes four short double-helical elements and three loops (D, anti-codon, and T loops). Further hydrogen bonds mediate the characteristic L-shaped molecular structure. tRNAs have two regions of fundamental functional importance: the anti-codon, which is responsible for specific mRNA codon recognition, and the 3' end, to which the tRNAs corresponding amino acid is attached (by aminoacyl-tRNA synthetases). tRNAs cope with the degeneracy of the genetic code in two manners: having more than one tRNA (with a specific anti-codon) for a particular amino acid; and 'wobble' base-pairing, i.e. permitting non-standard base-pairing at the 3rd anti-codon position. The record is from RNAcentral. RNAcentral also lists the same sequence under 1 other name.
GGGCGGGUGGCGGAAUCGGUAGACGCUACGGACUUAAAAUCCGUUGAAGGCAAUACUUCGUGUGGGUUCGAGUCCCACCCCGCCCACCA